AGCACCGUAGCACAGCUGGAAGUGCGCCGGUCUCAUAUCUCUUCCCCUGGGGGUCCUGAGCAAUCCGGAGGUCGCUUGAUCGAAACAAGCCGUUGCUA
This is a non-coding RNA of Mycena latifolia, 98 nucleotides long. The record is from the annotation of a GenBank genome assembly. Lineage: Eukaryota; Fungi; Basidiomycota; Agaricomycetes; Agaricales; Mycenaceae.